UACAGAGACCUCAAGCGUUAUCCGGAUUUAUUGGGCGUAAAGCGUCCGCAGAUGGUUUGGCGGGUGAGGAGUUAAAACCUAAGGCUUAACCUUAGGACUGCUUCUCAAACUACCAAACUCGAGGGUGGGAGAGGUAAGCGGAAUUCUCGGUGUAGUCGUAAUAAGCGCUGAUAUCGAGAAGAACACCAAAUGCGAAGGCAGCUUACUGGAACACUCCUGACAUUCAGGGACGAAAGCGUGGGGAGCAAACAGG
Molecule: ribosomal RNA, 253 nt
Filed under: uncultured bacterium
Lineage: Bacteria
Description: partial 16S ribosomal RNA
Rfam family: Bacterial small subunit ribosomal RNA
Source: RNAcentral